GGGGGGGGGGGGGGGGGGGGGGGGGGGGGGGGGGGGGGGGGGGGGGGGGGGGGUUGCUCCUGGGGUCAGCGGCGGGCGGGUGGGUAAUGCCUGGGAAUCUGCCUGGUAGUGGGGGAUAACGUCCGGGAACGGGCGCUAAUACCGCAUACGGCCUGAGGGAGAAAGUGGGGGAUCUUCGGACCCCCCGCUAUCAGAUGAGCCUAGGUCGGAUUAGCUAGGUGGUGGGGUAAAGGCCUACCAAGGCGACGAUCCGUAACUGGUCUGAGAGGAUGAUCAGUCACACUGGAACUGAGACACGGUCCAGACUCCUACGGGAGGCAGCAGUGGGGAAUAUUGGACAAUGGGCGAAAGCCUGAUCCAGCCAUGCCGCGUGUGUGAAGAAGGUCUUCGGAUUGUAAAGCACUUUAAGUUGGGAGGAAGGGCAGUAAGUUAAUACCUUGCUGUUUUGACGUUACCAACAGAAUAAGCACCGGCUAACUUCGUG
Molecule: ribosomal RNA, 484 nt
Filed under: uncultured bacterium
Lineage: Bacteria
Description: partial 16S ribosomal RNA
Rfam family: Bacterial small subunit ribosomal RNA
Source: RNAcentral